ACGGAGGGUGCAAGCGUUGUCCGGAUUCACUGGGUGUAAAGGGUGUGUAGGCGGGGCGGUAUGUCAGAGGUGAAAGCCCACGGCUCAACCGUGGAACUGCCUUUGAAACUGCCGUUCUUGAGUCUCGGAGAGGUCGCUGGAAUUCGUGGUGUAGCGGUGAAAUGCGUAGAUAUCACGAGGAACACCAGAGGCGUAGGCGGGCGACUGGACGAGAACUGACGCUGAGGCACGAAAGCGUGGGGAGCAAACAGG
This 252-nucleotide ribosomal RNA is filed under the name uncultured bacterium. RNAcentral describes it as "partial 16S ribosomal RNA". It matches the Rfam family "Bacterial small subunit ribosomal RNA", at positions 525 to 776 of the family's 1533-position model. The record is from RNAcentral.